Lolium perenne is the source of this 893-nucleotide long non-coding RNA. RefSeq lists it as uncharacterized. The record is from RefSeq and is a predicted model, not a curated record. NCBI's taxonomy places the organism in Eukaryota, Viridiplantae, Streptophyta, Magnoliopsida, Poales, Poaceae.
UCUCCCCUAAUCCCAUCAAUGGCUCAAACCCUAGGCCAAUUCCCACCAUGUUUGCCGCUACCUCCCGCCCCUCUCUCUUCCUGGGCUCCAAUGGAGCGAAGCUGGCGACGCUUCCUCCCCUUUCCACGGGUUUCCUGGCGGCGUGCUGCAUCUCGCAUGGCGGCCGGCGCGGUGGCCGGCGGUCCGCUGGGCUCUGUCCUCCACCUAACCCCUAUUUGUUUUGGGCAGAACGAAGGCUUCCAUGAUGUUUUGGUGAUUCGUUGCUGCUAGGGAGGGAGAUGGGAAGGGGAAGAACAGGAGGUGAAGGAGAUGGAAGAGGACACAACGACCACAGAUCUGCUCAAACAAGGGAGUAAACUGCAUUCUCUCGGGAAUAAUAAGAUGGGACAACAGGAAGAUGGCAUGAUGAUGCGUGCUCGUCUGCUCGAAGACAUCGUCCUUAGGCAAUGGAGCAUGGGUGGUUGGGAUGAAUGCUGCAGUGUCGUCAUCGUCUUUCUCCUGCAGCAAGUCCAAUCUCCCCGCCACCCGUGAAUACAUAUACUGAUUUACAUUGUUGAUGAUUAGGAUCCAUGUUUCAGCGACUUUGAAGAAAUGCUAUUCUAUACAUGCUAUUCUAUCCACUGGUUGCUAGCUGAAGACUGAUCGAGUACUUGGAACUCCUUUAUCUUAGAGGUAAACUCUGGUUGCAUUUGGACAUAUAAAUCAGUGGAUUACGGAAGGACAAAUGUUUCAUCUCUUCCCCAAAUGUUGAGAAAAUGUAUAUUUUAAAGGCGCAAUAGACUGUUCGAAAAAUUAUCCAUGCUUCCACAAAUGUACAUUUCAAGCGCAACAGUCAUCUGCUACCAUGGUAUUGUGCACCCUCCAUCUCAAAUACCAGUUUAAUUAGUAGAUUC